Molecule: long non-coding RNA, 2392 nt
Organism: Bombus pyrosoma
Lineage: Eukaryota; Metazoa; Arthropoda; Insecta; Hymenoptera; Apidae
Exons: 7
Source: RefSeq, a predicted model, not a curated record
UAUUUUUAAUGUAUAGGGUCGCAACGAAAUAGCAUUUCUGGUUUACACCUGGUCUCACGCGAUAAUAGAAUAAAAAAAAAGAUGUACAAGAAUCACGAUUCGUCGCAAACGAUAGUGAUCAAGGUACUCCAAUCAUUGCAGCGUAAUACGACGGUAGUUUAUCCUUCGGUAAAAAACAUCGUUACGUCAAUCGGAAAUAAACAUGAAGUUGUUACAAGAAACUAUCGUCGAGCCAUCGUGAACAUCCGAUUGUUCCAGCACGGAAUUCCUUCCGCGCAUUAUCGCGGAAUGUGUCGUUGGACAUUGUCAAUCGACAACAGAUACGUUCCGCUACACUUUUGCACGACCCUUUCCUUCUUGUUUUUUCACUGGAGUCCUUUUUACCGGUGAGUUUCUUGUCCCGAGAGAAUGGUUGAAAUUCUUAUCAUCGAGCGCGACACAUCGUGUGCAUGCCUAUAAUUACAAGGACGUUGCGUGGUCUUGAACGACGUUGUGUUUUGCAUGUUAACGCGGCGAGUGUAACGAUGAAUUCACGAAAGUAAAGCAAAAAUUAUCAAUGUUUUAUGGGAAAACAUAGCACGAAACUUUUUAACUUUUAGAUUCAUUCCUAUAGCACCAAAGUCAAAACGUAACGCAACAAACAAUUUUAAUAUAUAUAAUGUUGAUCGCUGAUAUUAUUCUUAAAAAUUGAAACAACGAUUGAACGAUAAUUUGUUUUAUCGAAAGAGGUGUUUAAAAAUGAUCAUGAAGCAGUACGAAGCUUAAAUAAAUAAAUGAAUAAAUAAAAUAUAUUCGUGGACUAAUGUUAGUAUAAAGUUUAUAUAAAUAAAUAAAUAAAUAAAAAAUUUUCAAGAACGAGUGUUAGCUCGAAGUUUAAAUAAUUAAGAGAAGAAAAAUAAUUUGUACCGGUGGAAUGAAUCGAAUGUAUGUUAUUUCUGAUGCUUGUAAACGAGUACCUCGAAAUAGCAAAAGAAUUUAUAUAUGCCUGUUCGUCGAAAGUCCACGAAGAUCUUGAUAAAGAUACAAAAAUGCGCUGUCCACUCUUUAAUCAGGGAUAUUCCUGGAAAUAAUCAAGGCUCCCGAUUGCAAAUUACUGGCUGGCAAAAAAGAGAGCGAUCUAGGGCUGUCUAAGAUUAGAGAGAUUCUUCGUACCCAAGAGAAAGGAGCAAAAUAUUUUUCGAAAAAUGAAGACGGUGCGUUCUUUUCGAUCGGGAAUAUAUCAAUAGAAAGUGACAAUACAUCUAACAGAUCACAAACAAAAUAAAGGCAUCGAUGAAAGACGUGAUGCAGCGUGUAAGGUGCAUUUUUCUCAAGAAGUUCAAGAACAGAAAAUGAAUAAAACGAUGAAGUAAAAAUCCAAUGGAAAGACUUUCGUCGCCCGUUUUUAAAAUUAACAUUACUUAAAAGAUAAAAUCGGUCACUUUGAUAGAAUAAUAAUACGUAAAUGUAACUUACAGAAUAAUAAAUCUGAAAUAUAUAUUCGAGUUAAAAGUGACUCAGCCUUCGCUGUACAUAGCACCGCUUUUAGUUGAGAUAUUUAAGGACACUUCUCAACUUGCUAAAUUAAUUCUAGAUGAGCGAUGUGAAUUUUGCUAACAAAGUACAAUUAUUAUAAUCCUCAAAUAUUCCUUUGGAAGGAAGGUGGAAAAUCUACAAUGGAAUUUUUGUAUGAAUUAUUUUGGACUAUAAGUUUAUUGGUGGUAGAAAAGCUUCUUAGGCUUAUAAACAUAUAAAGAUAUUAACGUGUAAAACUAUAAAUAACUAGAAGAGAUAAAAACAAAGAUAUCCUGAACAUGGGAUGAGCAUAAGAAGAAAUUCUGUGAAUAAUAGUAAUAUUAUUGAAUUUAAAAUCAAUCCUGCACUGAAAUCUCUCGAUGAUAAUAAAUAAGUGCCGAGAAAAUGCAGUAUCGGGGUAUUUAUAAAACAUAAUACGUACCUGAGUUAUUUGCGCCCUGGUGGCAGAAAUAGGAAUUAAAAUUUUAAAUCACAUCAUCUCACGCGCUGUCCAAGGUAGCAACAUGAAUAGCAACUGCAGAGAAUUCGUGAAAAAUAUGAAAAUUCAACGUACAUCAGCAUAUAAGUGCUUCAGAAUGGUGGAUAUCGAAAUAAAUUUUAAGAAAAUUCGAAUGGUAUCCGGGUACUGAUAGAAUAUAAUACGUUCCUGAUCCUGGAUACGUAACAAGCGCACUCUGGUGGUAUGUUUUUGAACUAAAAUUUAAAGUUACACCAUUUCAUGCGGGAUCGUAUUUUGAGUAAAAUAUUAUGCAGAAAGAUUUUAAAAGUUGUCAUUGUCUUUUUGAAGUGUAGAAGAUAGUAGUUAAGUGCAGAAGUGUUACGAUAAACAAUUAUAUUAUUAGACAUAUUCAUAUUACAAUUGUAAGAUAUUAGCGCC